GGCUCAGGGUGAACGCUGGCGGUGCGUCUAAUGCAUGCAAGUCGAGCGAGAACCUCCGGUUCGCCGGAGGGGAGAGCGGCGGACGGCUGAGUAACGCGUGAGUAACCUGUCCUUGAGUGGGGUACAACCUCGAGAGAUCGAGGCUAAUCCCUCAUAAGUUCCCCCAACUCUGGUUAGGGGAGGAAACCCAGCUUGCUGGGGCUCAUUGAGGGGCUCGCGUCCUAUGGCUCAGGUAGUUGGUGAGGUAACGGCCCACCAAGCCGAAGACGGGUAGCUGGUCUGAGAAGAUGGUCAGCCAGAGGGAGACUGAGACACGGCUCCCACUCCUACGGGAGGCAGCAGCAAAGAAUUUUGAUGGGCGAAAGCCUGACCCAGCGACACCGCGUGGAGGAUGAAGGCCUUCGGGUCGUAAACUCCUUUUCCAGGGGAAGAGAAGGGACGGUACCCUGGGAAUAAGCCCCGGCUAACUACGUGCCAGCAGCCGCGGUAAUACGUAGGGGGCAAGCGUUACCCGGAUUUAUUGGGCGUAAAGAGCGCGAAUAGGCGGCUGGAUAAGUCUCCUGUGAAAUCUUCUGGCUUAACUGGAAGAGGUCAGGGGAUACUGUUCGGCUUGAGGGCAGCAGAGGAAGACGGAAUUCCCGGUGUAGCGGUGAAAUGCGUAGAUAUCGGGAGGAACACCAGAGGCGAAGGCGGUCUUCUGGGCUGUGCCUGACGCUGAGGCGCGAAAGCGUGGGUAGCAAACCGGAUUAGAUACCCGGGUAGUCCACGCCCUAAACGAUGGACGCUAAGUAUGGGGGGGUAUCGACCCCCUCCGUGCUGAAGCAAACGCAUUAAGCGUCCCGCCU
Molecule: ribosomal RNA, 845 nt
Filed under: uncultured bacterium
Lineage: Bacteria
Description: bacterial SSU rRNA
Rfam family: Bacterial small subunit ribosomal RNA
Source: RNAcentral